RNAcentral lists this ribosomal RNA (247 nucleotides) under uncultured Pseudomonadota bacterium. Its description in RNAcentral is "uncultured proteobacterium partial 16S ribosomal RNA". It matches the Rfam family "Bacterial small subunit ribosomal RNA", at positions 1247 to 1504 of the family's 1533-position model. Lineage: Bacteria; Pseudomonadati; Pseudomonadota. The record is from RNAcentral.
UUGCACACCGGCGACGUUAAUCACAUCCCGAAAAGAUGCCUAACUUCGGAUUGCACUCUGCCACUCCCGUGCAUGAAGCUGGAAUUACUAGUAAUCGUGGAUCACCGUGCCACGGUGAAUGCGUUCCCGGGUCUUGUACACACCGCCCGUCACACCAUGGGAGUUGGUUCUACCUUAAGGCAAGGUUUUAAACCCUUGACCACGGUAUAAUCAGCGACUGGGGUGAAGUCGUAACAAGGUAACCGUA